CCUACGGGUGGCUGCAGUGAGGAAUAUUGGUCAAUGGGCGCGAGCCUGAACCAGCCAAGUAGCGUGAAGGAUGACGGCCCUACGGGUUGUAAACUUCUUUUAUAAGGGAAUAAAGUGAGUCACGUGUGCCUCUUUGUAUGUACUUUAUGAAUAAGGAUCGGCUAACUCCGUGCCAGCAGCCGCGGUAAUACGGAGGAUGCGAGCGUUAUCCGGAUUUAUUGGGUUUAAAGGGAGCGCAGAGGGAUGUGUAAGUCAGUGGUAAAAUUGUGGGGCUCAACCGAAUACUGCAGUUGAAAAUGGGAGUCUUGAGUGCAGUAGAGGUAGGCGGAAUGCGUGGUGUAGCGGUGAAAUGCAUAGAUAUCACGAAGAACUCCGAUUGCGAAGGCAGCUUACUA
This 395-nucleotide ribosomal RNA is filed under the name uncultured bacterium. RNAcentral's name for it is "partial 16S ribosomal RNA". It matches the Rfam family "Bacterial small subunit ribosomal RNA", at positions 338 to 731 of the family's 1533-position model. The record is from RNAcentral.